GCACCAUUCUCAUCUUACCAUCACACAGUUUUCAUUUAGUCUGGUUCCGUCUAGAGAUUUCGCUUUUUUAAAUGAUCUGUUUUCUGAGCAAAAAUUGAAAU
This is a long non-coding RNA of Poecilia latipinna (sailfin molly), 101 nucleotides long. RefSeq lists it as uncharacterized. NCBI's taxonomy places the organism in Eukaryota, Metazoa, Chordata, Actinopteri, Cyprinodontiformes, Poeciliidae. The transcript has 4 exons. The record is from RefSeq and is a predicted model, not a curated record.